This 856-nucleotide ribosomal RNA is filed under the name Wagneriana heteracantha. RNAcentral describes it as "SSU rRNA". It matches the Rfam family "Eukaryotic small subunit ribosomal RNA", at positions 713 to 1592 of the family's 1831-position model. The record is from RNAcentral. Lineage: Eukaryota; Metazoa; Arthropoda; Arachnida; Araneae; Araneidae.
UUGAUGAUCUUCACCGGUUGUCUCGGGUGACCGCCAAGUUUACUUUGAAAAAAUUAGAGUGCUCAAAGCAGGCGCGACGCCUGAAUAAUUGUGCAUGGAAUAAUGGAAUAGGACCUCGGUUCUAUUUUGUUGGUUUUCGGAACACGAGGUAAUGAUUAAGAGGGACAGACGGGGGCAUUCGUAUUGCGACGCUAGAGGUGAAAUUCUUGGACCGUCGCAAGACGAACUACUGCGAAAGCAUUUGCCAAGAAUGUUUCCAUUAAUCAAGAACGAAAGUUAGAGGUUCGAAGGCGAUCAGAUACCGCCCUAGUUCUAACCAUAAACGAUGCCAGCCAGUAAUCCGCCUGUGUUCCUCAAAUGACACGGCGGGCGACUUCCGGGAAACCAAAGCUUUUGGGUUCCGGGGGAAGUAUGGUUGCAAAGCUGAAACUUAAAGGAAUUGACGGAAGGGCACCACCAGAAAUGGAGCCUGCGGCUUAAUUUGACUCAACACGGGGAAACUUACCCGGCCCGGACACAGGAAGGAUUGACAGAUUAAGAGCUCUUUCUUGAUUCUGUGGGUGGUGGUGCAUGGCCGUUCUUAGUUGGUGGGGCGACUUGUCUGGUUAAUUCCGAUAACGAACGAGACUCUAGCCUACUAAAUAGACGUUCCGAUCCUCUUUCGUCGGACGUUCUUCUUAGAGGGACAAGCGGCGUUUAGCCGCACGAGACAGAGCAAUAACAGGUCUGGGAUGCCCUUAGAUGUCCGGGGCCGCACGCGCGCUACAUUGAAGGAAUCAGCGUGUGCUUUCCCUGUCCGAAAGGACUGGGUAACCCGUUGAACCUCCUUCGUGCUGGGGAUUGGCGAAUGUAACUA